ACCAAACAACUCGCGAGGCGAAGGGAAAGGGCUCGCGUGGCGAGCGAUGAAGUUCAUCACUCGCGAGGCGAGGAUCAUCCCUCGCCGUGGCGAGCGAUGAACAGAAGCACGGGCAGACUAGGGUUUUUCUCAAAAAUCCAACACACAACAUGGUUCAAAGCCUAAUUUUGAUUCCAUAAUCCAUCCUAAACAUGUUCUAAGGUUAAAGGACGGUUUCUACAUCAAUC
Molecule: long non-coding RNA, 227 nt
Filed under: Medicago truncatula (barrel medic)
Lineage: Eukaryota; Viridiplantae; Streptophyta; Magnoliopsida; Fabales; Fabaceae
Description: long non-coding RNA (MTRU_LNC001828)
Source: RNAcentral